This is a non-coding RNA of Meleagris gallopavo (turkey), 2060 nucleotides long. NCBI's taxonomy places the organism in Eukaryota, Metazoa, Chordata, Aves, Galliformes, Phasianidae. The record is from RefSeq and is a predicted model, not a curated record.
AUAUUUUAGGAAUGGAACACAGGCAGGGCACAGCAAAAGGAUUAGCUACAUGUAUGCUUGAAGAAUUGGGAAAACAAAGCAAUUUCAGUCAAAAUGUGCCUGUCAGAGUCCUCAGCAGGGUGCAGAGCAGUUUCCAAGGUAACCAGCACUAAUUGUUGGCACCGCGAAUCCAGUCAACAACAAAAGCACGGAGGAACCUGUGCUGCUGUGCAAGGCAAAGCAGCCCUAACAUUUUUCUGCGGAAAGAGAAGACAAGAAGUAGCCAUUUGCUAUCUUUGACCAUUUGAAAAGCACGCAGGACCUAUAGAUUUCUCACGCUCCUCCGUCAGGGUUCCUGCUGCUGGUCACCCCCUGAUAACCAGCCAGCUCUGCCAUGUACCAGCAGCGUGGGCCCACCUGUAUCCAGACCAGUGUCUCUCUCUCGCCGACUGUGAAGAGCAGGCUGUACUCACAGAACGUGCACAUCACAUGUGGUGCUGUGGGGACAGCCGAGAGCAGGCUCCAGGUCACUGCAGCCACUGGGAGACGUCUGUGUGCAGAGAAGGAGCCCAAGUGCACAGAAAAGGAGUGAUGGCUGUGGAAAUUCCAGGUCAGAGAGGGGCAGCAUGGGGCGGUUGGGAUAAAACUGGGCAUACAAAGAGAGAAUGUGGGAAUAAAAUGCCAGAGGCAAUGUUAGUGAGAAAAGAGGGUUAGUGAGAAAAAGAAAGAGCUGAAAAAGCAGUUGUUUGGAAGGACUAUAUAUUCUGAAAUAAAAAGCCUGACAGCAAAAGGAAGAGAAAGCAGCAAAGGAUCAGCUGCCUUCACACUUCACCAACAACCUGCACAGGUUGCAUUGCCCUGGAUUUGGCAGAAACCCUUGAUUUGGGGUGAAAGAAAACAGCCCCAACUGAAGUUGUUUCCUACUCUCGAAAACAGAGAGGAAAACAGCUUUCCUAAGUCAGCAGGAGUGCACCCAUACAGCACCAGUACUUCUGCACCUCUGUGCUAUGCCUCUAGCCUGCCAGCUGCACAGUGGCAUGGAAGGAGGAUCAGGCUGCAAACAUGCCUCACUGUAACUGCUGCAGGCUGCGCAGGUUGCUGGGAGCUGAGCCAAAUGGGCUGUGUGCUGCUGUGAGUUAGUCUCAAGGAAAGAAAUACGAACAAAAAAAGUGAGAUAUCUGGGGUUUAUUUUCCUCUCCCCAAAGCGUACAUUGUCUCUAAGUGAAUUUGAUUUCUGUGAAGUAUUCGAUCUAUCCUGAGUGAAAAUGACUCGCUGGAAAGCAGUUAGCAGAUUUUCCUGCCUCAGAGAUAAUGAUAUAUCAUAGUUAUUUUCCAUAUACUGAAUGCAAUUAAAGUUCAAGUAUUUUCCAUGCACAGAAGGGCCCACGAUCUUGUCUAUACAGUUGGGGUGCCUUGAAUUUCCUGCACUUAUGCAUGUCACAAGCAAUGUCUCAAUAACAACAAAACCCCCAGAACAAGACUGCAUUUCCAAACCAUCACCUCAAAAUGAGCUUUCCAGGCACCACUGGUUCUGCUCUGCUGUCAGUCUGCAAAACAGCCCAGGAAAACAUCAGUGUUUUGCUCAGUAUCUCCCAAGGAACAAGUGACGGAGUCAGAGCGAGUUCACAGCCCACUCACUUUGAAUCUUGCUUUGAAUUUCCAGACCAACCUUUUCACAGCUGGUGCGGACAGGCGAUGGAGUAUCAGUGCUCACUUACCAUCUAAUGCUAGCCUCAUUAGGCUGAUUUCCAUCCUUUCAGCUGGCAAAGGCAAGCAAACCUGUAUUAAUUAUCUUUAUGAUUUAAAGUGAGCAAUAGCAACUGUGUAUAACACAAAAAACCCAAGCUAAAACACUAGCACAAACUGCUGGUUCUGCUGUCCUAACUUGGGGUGUUAAUGUUGCAUGAGAAGAGACGACUUGCUCUGUAUUUUCACCUCACAGCUUAAAUCAGCAGGCAAGACAAAGAUGGGUUUUUAUCCCCAGCUUCCUUCUAAUCUUUCAUUUCAACUUCUUGCUUGAACUAAAGCCCAGAUUGCCUUUGCCUUCCCAUUUUAAUACAGGGUAUUAAAAUCAGGGUUAU